Molecule: ribosomal RNA, 492 nt
Filed under: uncultured bacterium
Lineage: Bacteria
Description: partial 16S ribosomal RNA
Rfam family: Bacterial small subunit ribosomal RNA
Source: RNAcentral
AGUGAACGCUGGCGGUAGGCCUAACACAUGCAAGUCGAACGGCAGCACGGUAAGAGCUUGCUCCUACGGGUGGCGAGUGGCGGACGGGUGAGGAAUACAUCGGAAUCUACUUUUUCGUGGGGGAUAACGUAGGGAAACUUACGCUAAUACCGCAUACGACCUACGGGUGAAAGCAGGGGAUCUUCGGACCUUGCGCGAUUGAAUGAGCCGAUGUCGGAUUAGCUAGUUGGCGGGGUAAAGGCCCACCAAGGCGACGAUCCGUAGCUGGUCUGAGAGGAUGAUCAGCCACACUGGAACUGAGACACGGUCCAGACUCCUACGGGAGGCAGCAGUGGGGAAUAUUGGACAAUGGGCGCAAGCCUGAUCCAGCCAUACCGCGUGGGUGAAGAAGGCCUUCGGGUUGUAAAGCCCUUUUGUUGGGAAAGAAAAGCAGCAGGUUAAUACCCCGCUGUUCUGACGGUACCCAAAGAAUAAGCACCGGCUAACUUCGUG